AGAGUUUGAUCCUGGCUCAGGAUGAACGCUAGCUACAGGCUUAACACAUGCAAGUCGAGGGGAAACGACAUCGAAAGCUUGCUUUUGAUGGGCGUCGACCGGCGCACGGGUGAGUAACGCGUAUCCAACCUGCCCACCACUUGGGGAUAACCUUGCGAAAGUAAGACUAAUACCCAAUGACGUCUCUAGAAGACAUCUGAAAGAGAUUAAAGAUUUAUCGGUGAUGGAUGGGGAUGCGUCUGAUUAGCUUGGUUGGCGGGGUAACGGCCACCAAGGGCGACGAUCAGUAGGGGUUCUGAGAGGAAGGUCCCCCANAUUGGAACUCGAGACACGGUCCAAACUCCUACGGGAGGCA
Molecule: ribosomal RNA, 355 nt
Filed under: uncultured bacterium
Lineage: Bacteria
Description: bacterial SSU rRNA
Rfam family: Bacterial small subunit ribosomal RNA
Source: RNAcentral